GGUUUUAUGGUGUACAGAGCACAACAGAUUGCAAAUCUGGCAGAGGGCCUUAACCCUAAAACUU
Molecule: transfer RNA, 64 nt
Filed under: Ophionotus victoriae
Lineage: Eukaryota; Metazoa; Echinodermata; Ophiuroidea; Amphilepidida; Ophiuridae
Description: tRNA-Cys
Source: RNAcentral